CAAUAGCGUAUAUUAACUUUGUUGCAGUUAAAAAGCUCGUAGUUGAAUUUUAGGUUUUGGAUUUGUCCUUGUCUAUUUUGGAUAUUGGAUGUGAUCCUGAUCUUUUGCGAAUGGAAAUUUCGUGGCAUUAGGUUGUCGCGGAUUGGAUGUUUGCCGUUUACUGUGAAAAAAUUAGAGUGUUCAAAGCAGGCUUAUGCCUCGUGAAUAUAUUAGCAUGGAAUAAUGAGAUAGGACCUGUGUGCUAUUUUGUUGGUUUGCGCAUGUGGGUAAUGAUUAACAGGAACGGUUGGGGGUCUUCGUAUUCCAUUGUCAGAGGUGAAAUUCUUGGAUUUUUGGAAGACGAACUACUGCGAAAGCAUUGACCAAGGAUGUUUNCAUUA
RNAcentral lists this ribosomal RNA (380 nucleotides) under uncultured eukaryote. Its description in RNAcentral is "partial 18S ribosomal RNA". It matches the Rfam family "Eukaryotic small subunit ribosomal RNA", at positions 592 to 975 of the family's 1831-position model. The record is from RNAcentral.